Molecule: long non-coding RNA, 1274 nt
Filed under: Pogona vitticeps (central bearded dragon)
Lineage: Eukaryota; Metazoa; Chordata; Lepidosauria; Squamata; Agamidae
Description: lncRNA (ENSPVIG00000008767.1)
Source: RNAcentral
CCCGGCGACUCCGCACCACUCUAGAAGCCAGGGGGAAAAAGCUCAGUCCCCUAGCGCCCCCUGGUGGCGAAUGGGAGAACAAGCCCGUCUUUCGAGGGCGGUGGCCCAAUCGCGGUGGCCGAACCGGGCAACAGGUGGCGCUAUUUUGCCGAAGGGAGAUACCGCUCGGGCGGCCCUGAAAUCAAUCAGCCAGCAACUGAAACAAGAAAUUGUGCAUCUCUGGAUUCUUCUAAUCAAAGUGAUGACUUCAUAUUAUGGUUGGCCUGAAACUGAUCUACAUAUUAAGAGGAGCCUUGGGACUACCAUUUUUCUCAGAGGAAGAAGCCAACCAAUUUUUGAGUCUUAAGAGACAAACACCUUAUUUAGACUACUUGCAACUAACUAGCAGCCAGAGUACUCUGGGUGAACAGGUUAGUGAAGCCUGGACUACACUGAAAAACACAGGACAAUAUUACAUGGAUCUGGGAUAUUCUGUAUUCAGUACCGACACAGCCAGGGAUCAUAUUAAUUCUUACAUGGAUAUGUUGCAGCAUCCCAGAGCACAUUUGAAAAAGCAAAGAAGAAAACCUACAGAAAUCGGACAUUGAUCCUUAUUGUUCAGACUGCCCUUAAAGGCCAGCAUUUAUGGCAGCUUGAUGCUUCCUGGAAUAUUGGGGCUUGGAGCAAACAGUGUGAAACCAAACAGCAGUCUUUAUCCUGUUGACCUUCAUUGACCUUCACUGUCAGUUUUCUCCUCAUCAUCACCUUCUGUGUUGCAUCUCCUCUAAAUUCAUCUGCUCUGGUCCCCUUGUUUCCCUUUCAGUAGCAGCAGGUACCAGAAAGGCAAAUUGGAACACUAAAAAGGGAUUUCUUUUCACAGUAGACUGAAUGAACUUGUCUGUCACAGCUCUGAUUGGUCACAAAGCACACUGUCUCACAACGAUUGUGACUGAUACCCGAAUUCUUUUUUAAAAAGUGCUGAGAACACCUGUUACUUUUCUAAAUCUGGAACUCUCUAGUUCUUUGUGGCAUAGAAAAUUACCACUUCCCCGCAGAAUUUCAUGAACAUUAUAUCAGGAUAAGAUGCCUGUCUUUAAGAUGGAGAAAUACUGUAUUCGUUGAACUGACACAAACGUCUUUGUUCUGCCUUGGAUUGAAUAAUACGAAGUAAAAAUGAAGUUCAUUAUUUGCUAAGUGGGUGAGUUGAGUAACUAAAAUGAUCUCAGGCUCUUCAUAGAUGCAAUUUAUUUGAAGAUUUCUUCAAACGACAGCAAAUAAACAGGAAAUGAGAUCCA